This 72-nucleotide transfer RNA is filed under the name Ixodes scapularis (black-legged tick). Its description in RNAcentral is "tRNA-Ser". It matches the Rfam family "tRNA". Rfam says of the family: Transfer RNA (tRNA) molecules are approximately 80 nucleotides in length. The record is from RNAcentral. Lineage: Eukaryota; Metazoa; Arthropoda; Arachnida; Ixodida; Ixodidae.
UCCUGGUUAGCUCAGGUAGUAGAGCGCUCCAUUGGAAAUGGACAUUAUCGGGUCCAAUACCCGGACCAUGCG